UACGAAGGGGGCUAGCGUUGCUCGGAAUCACUGGGCGUAAAGCGCACGUAGGCGGGUUGCUAAGUCAGGGGUGAAAUCCUGGAGCUCAACUCCAGAACUGCCCUUGAUACUGGCGGCCUUGAGUCCGGGAGAGGUGAGUGGAACUGCGAGUGUAGAGGUGAAAUUCGUAGAUAUUCGCAAGAACACCAGUGGCGAAGGCGGCUCACUGGCCCGGUUACUGACGCUGAGGUGCAAAAGCGUGGGGA
This 245-nucleotide ribosomal RNA is filed under the name uncultured Rhodoplanes sp. RNAcentral describes it as "partial 16S ribosomal RNA". It matches the Rfam family "Bacterial small subunit ribosomal RNA", at positions 524 to 767 of the family's 1533-position model. The record is from RNAcentral. Lineage: Bacteria; Pseudomonadati; Pseudomonadota; Alphaproteobacteria; Hyphomicrobiales; Nitrobacteraceae.